RNAcentral lists this long non-coding RNA (756 nucleotides) under Homo sapiens (human). RNAcentral describes it as "HSALNT0372015". The record is from RNAcentral. Lineage: Eukaryota; Metazoa; Chordata; Mammalia; Primates; Hominidae.
GCCUUAACCUCGGCUAUAAAGCAUGCUGAGGCGGAGUCCCCUCGUUUCAGGCUCUUCAGUGUCAGUGCUCAGUAUCUGCCUUAGAGAACUACGAGAAGGGGCUGCUAGCAGCCGCCAUCCGGGGCACUGGGUGGCUGCAGGUGGUGGUGGCGAUGGAACGGUAGGAGGGCGGCCAGCAGCGGGAGCUUCUCCUGCCGGGCAGGAGGACGAGUAGAAGGGAGAGGCACCACCACAUGCUGGAGGCUGGAGCUUGCACCGCCGCAGCUCGCCUCACUGCAGUUGGAGGUGACGUUGGACACUACAGCUUGGCCAGAGUGGUAGAAAUGUUGUUGCAUAGGAUUACCAGGAGACACCAGGUGCUGCAGCAGCUUCGGGAUAACUUGAGGAUGCAUCCUGGGGAAGAGACACCUCUUGUCCAUGGCGCUGACUACUGAGGACAGCUUCGGUGUGGCUUUUCUGCGGCCAGCUUCUUUGAGGCCUUUUUCUUUCAUGGAUGGUAGAGAGCAGUCUACAGCCUGAGACCCAUCACAAGGUUCCUUGUGAGACACCUGGGGGACUCCAAACAGCCGGAAUCCAUCUGCCCACUGGUCCGGAGACAGGGAUCCUCCGCCUCCUUCCAGGGUUGAUGGCUCAGGAGGCCUUCUCUGCAGGGGACCAGGACACAGGAAAGCCAGGAAGAGAUGAGCUGGGAAGGGAGCUGUUGGGGGCCAUUCUGGUUUUAAAAAUAAAGCAGGACUUUCGUUGCUUGUUAUAAAA